Molecule: long non-coding RNA, 1510 nt
Organism: Sinocyclocheilus rhinocerous
Lineage: Eukaryota; Metazoa; Chordata; Actinopteri; Cypriniformes; Cyprinidae
Exons: 3
Source: RefSeq, a predicted model, not a curated record
UGCUCAGACCUGAAGCUUUCCUUGUUGUCAUAGCUGAACGGGUUCUAUCAUCGCCAGUGAACUGUCAGUGAUUUGGACAACAUUUCAACUGUCGCAAGUCACUUGGAAUUUGAAGAAUUCUUUUGGGCGACAGUACCAGCGUAAGUGCGUUUCAAGAGAACAACCGCUCCCCCUACUGAUAUGGGUGUAAAAAUGCUGCAGUGCUUUCCCUUCUACAGACGCUGCAAGGAGAGGUGCAAAAGACAGUGCCCUCCUGAGACGGCAGUAGCAAGUGAAGAGGUGAAACCUCGGCUGUGUUCCACUACUUCCUGGGGCAGUGAAGGGGACAGCAGCAGCAGUCUGAGUUGCCCACAGGCCUAUUUUUCCCACAAGGCUCGGCUCUCACUUCGACACCAGAUGGAUAGCAACAUCAAUGCAGUGGAUGCCACAUACUAACUUUGUUCUUUAGGCGGUCUCUGGAAAAUCCUUGAAAAGUAAUUUUCCGAUUUACAGCCCCAGUCCAGUUUAAGUCCUUUAUUGGAGAGUUUUUGCGAGGAACUGGAGGAUGAGCCAUUAGGAGGAACAAGCAGCAUGGAAGUUUGCCUCUCCUUGCAUGCCUAUGGACAGUCAUGAGCGUCAGCUGUAUGCAUUGUAGUAACAAUGUCAAGAUAAGUGUCUGAAUUUCUCUAAUUUAACAAUACAGCACGAGUGUAAAAUGGUACAGCUGAGUGUAAUUUGGUGAAAGGGGAUAUUAUGAAACACUCUUAAGAGUUACAGUAUGUUUACAUGAUAACCAAUAAGUGCUUUUUUUCUAGCCUGUAGCAUUUGCCCUCCACAGCCUCUGCCAUACAUGCAUCUGCAGUAUCUGAACUGGAUACUGGUUUUAUCUGAGGAGACACUGACAUUUUAAUGCAAUUGGGUUUUUUGAGCCAGAUAUAAAUUUGUUCAGUAGGAUACGUUGAUGAAUAGCAGUCUACCUAAUAAAGUCAACCACGCUUUGCCUUGCUGGUCAUAAAUUCAGUGUGUACUGUUACUGUAAAGCAACUGAAUGUUUCUUUUACAUAAACAGAAAGGUUUCUAAAGCUUAUUUUUCUUUCUACAACUGCAUCAAGGUCCAUUAACAUAGUGUGCACAGCUCUAACUUUAAUAUUUUUUUUAAAAUUAUGUUUAGAUUUCAGGGCUUCUCGAAAUAUGCCCUGUCCAUAAACACAUUUUGCUUGAGAAGUGUUUUUGGAACAAUUCUAUUAAAGAUGGUUGUUUCAUGGACUUUAUGUAAGUUAAAUCUUACCAACUAAUGUAUUAAUAUGAAGAUGGCCUGUUUUUUUUAAUCUUUUUUAAAGUUUUUCUUCGUAUUGCAUUUAUAAAACCAAUCAAGUGAAUGGAGAUGUUUGUUGUGAUCCACUCAUUGCUUGUUACAUGUUUGAAAAAACAGGUUUUACAUGCUAAUGAUGUGUACCUGGACUAAGCCUGUCACGAUAACAUCUUUUUGUUGUGCAAUAUAUUGCCCCAGAAAUAAAUGCGAUACACGAUA